This 50-nucleotide non-coding RNA is filed under the name Trypanosoma brucei brucei. The record is from RNAcentral. Lineage: Eukaryota; Euglenozoa; Kinetoplastea; Trypanosomatida; Trypanosomatidae.
AAUCUAAUGACGAAAGCUUGUAUAUGGUAAUGAAGAUGGUAAUUAUAUGA